UAGAGACUGACAAGACUACCACGAGUGGGAACUAUUGCGCAUUUUGCUCAAUGUUCAAGAACCCAAGCCAGCCAUAUGACGUACACGUUGGGGUCGUUAAGUGUUGUAAACUGGUAUGAUACGGGUAGAAAAAACCUUUGCGAAGAGAAUCGCCGGUCCCGUAAGAAGAACCACCUAUUACUCCGCAGCAGCAGCCGCAAUAAUACGGAGGCAACAAGUAUUGUCAGGUUUUAUUGGGUAAGCGGGGUGCGUAGGCGGGUUAAAAGUCAGUGGUGAAAGCCUGCUCAUAACUGUAGAACUGCCAUUGAUACUAAGACCUUUAGUGUACUAGAGGUAGGGGUAUUUAUGGUGUAGCGAGAAAUGCAUAAUACCAUAAAGAACACCGAUAGAGUAGGCAGCUUACUGGAGUACAACUGACGCUGAGGCACGAAAGCAUGGGGAGCGAACAGGAUUAGAUACCCUGGUAGUCCAUGCCGUAAACGAUGAUUACUCGAUGUUGGCGAUACACGUCAGCGUCCAAGCGAAAGCGUUAAUUAUCC
This 539-nucleotide ribosomal RNA is filed under the name uncultured bacterium. Its description in RNAcentral is "bacterial SSU rRNA". It matches the Rfam family "Bacterial small subunit ribosomal RNA", at positions 321 to 870 of the family's 1533-position model. The record is from RNAcentral.